RNAcentral lists this transfer RNA (72 nucleotides) under Homonota fasciata (South American marked gecko). RNAcentral describes it as "tRNA-Tyr". It matches the Rfam family "tRNA". From Rfam's summary of the family: Transfer RNA (tRNA) molecules are approximately 80 nucleotides in length. Their secondary structure includes four short double-helical elements and three loops (D, anti-codon, and T loops). The record is from RNAcentral. Lineage: Eukaryota; Metazoa; Chordata; Lepidosauria; Squamata; Phyllodactylidae.
GGUAGGGUGGCCGAGGAUUAAGGCAAUGGGCUGUAGUCCCACUUACGGGGGGUGCAAGUCCCUCCUCUAUCA